AGUGAACGCUGGCGGUAGGCCUAACACAUGCAAGUCGAACGGCAGCACAGUAAGGGCUUGCUCUUACGGGUGGCGAGUGGCGGACGGGUGAGGAAUACAUCGGAAUCUACUUUUUCGUGGGGGAUAACGUAGGGAAACUUACGCUAAUACCGCAUACGACCUACGGGUGAAAGCAGGGGAUCUUCGGACCUUGCGCGAUUGAAUGAGCCGAUGUCGGAUUAGCUAGUUGGCGGGGUAAAGGCCCACCAAGGCGACGAUCCGUAGCUGGUCUGAGAGGAUGAUCAGCCACACUGGAACUGAGACACGGUCCAGACUCCUACGGGAGGCAGCAGUGGGGAAUAUUGGACAAUGGGCGCAAGCCUGAUCCAGCCAUACCGCGUGGGUGAAGAAGGCCUUCGGGUUGUAAAGCCCUUUUGUUGGGAAAGAAAAGCAGCAGGUUAAUACCCCGCUGUUCUGACGGUACCCAAAGAAUAAGCACCGGCCAACUUCGUG
RNAcentral lists this ribosomal RNA (492 nucleotides) under uncultured bacterium. Its description in RNAcentral is "partial 16S ribosomal RNA". It matches the Rfam family "Bacterial small subunit ribosomal RNA", at positions 29 to 507 of the family's 1533-position model. The record is from RNAcentral.